UACGUAGGGUGCGAGCGUUAAUCGGAAUUACUGGGCGUAAAGCGUGCGCAGGCGGUUUUGUAAGACAGGUGUGAAAUCCCCGGGCUUAACCUGGGAACUGCACUUGUGACUGCAAGGCUGGAGUACGGCAGAGGGGGAUGGAAUUCCGCGUGUAGCAGUGAAAUGCGUAGAUAUGCGGAGGAACACCGAUGGCGAAGGCAGUCCCCUGGGCCUGUACUGACGCUCAUGCACGAAAGCGUGGGGAGAAAACAGG
This 253-nucleotide ribosomal RNA is filed under the name uncultured bacterium. RNAcentral's name for it is "partial 16S ribosomal RNA". It matches the Rfam family "Bacterial small subunit ribosomal RNA", at positions 524 to 776 of the family's 1533-position model. The record is from RNAcentral.